Molecule: long non-coding RNA, 1129 nt
Filed under: Eutrema salsugineum
Lineage: Eukaryota; Viridiplantae; Streptophyta; Magnoliopsida; Brassicales; Brassicaceae
Description: long non-coding RNA (ESAL_LNC000501)
Source: RNAcentral
GUGAAUUUAAUAAGACCGACAUAAUACAACAUGCGCCCAAUUUUAAGGAAGGUCAAAUUCAGGGAUUAGUUGAUGGGUCAGUUGAAGUAAGUGGGUCGACUAUACAUAGUAGAUCGAAACCGUAAUAAGAGCUACACCUUCCACCACAUCUUCGUCAGUUACACUGUGGAGUGGCAUGUUCUCUGCGUGCACCUGAAGUAGCAUAAGUGUGAGGACUCCACUUUGACCUGCGAGAAAUAUUAGUUGUACGAAAUUAAAAUAGAUAUCUACAAGGGCAAUGACUACAAACCAUAGAUGUAGAAUACCUGAAGUUGGGGAUUGUAAAAUAGUCUUAGCAAUGGAAAUGUUGAAGGCGUCUAGGGUGUCGUGUCUCAUCUCUACAUUGUACGCAAAUUUCCUGAUAAAGUGUGGAAGAGAUUCAGCAAGUGGAACUAAGAGAGUCUGAGCAAUACAUCCGAAUCUGGAGAAGCACAUUAUUUGCCAUUCUGAUAAGUACAGAGAAAGUAGACAACUAUUAAUAGACAAAAAUACUAAUUGGACGGAUUUGCUAGAUACUUGAUUUUGAUAUCGUAGAUGAAUAGCAAUGUUGAAACAUGAAAUGGACGGAUUUCCAACUAUUUCGUAAUGGUAGUUAGAAAUCGACAAUUAUAUACACUACUAUACACUACAAUUAUCUACAAUUAGAUUUACGUUUUCAAAUAUAUUUGUAGAUUUGAAACUACUAUAUGUUUGAUGUUGAGGAGGAUAUAUUUGAAAACGUAAAUUGAAAAAAAUCAUAUCUGUAACUUAGAUCUAAAUGGGAUGAACAAUGGUGGAUUUCGUAGAUGAACCUCGAAUCAUAAACAAGCUACGAAGAAAAAUGAAAAGAAGAAGGAGAGAAAACCUGCUCAAGAUGAAGAUUGUGAUGGAAACACGAGAGAGAGAGAGAGAGAGAGAGAGAGAGAGAGAGAGAGAGAGAGAGAGAGAGAGAGAGAUAAUGUUGACGGCGUUGGGAGAGAUUCGUCUCGGUGGCGAGGGAUUCCAGGUCGGCGGUGGAAAAAUUUUCUUGACUGUAGGAGAAAAUAAAAAGAAGAAAAUGAGAAAUUUUCUGUUUGAAUUUGAAAUGAGAAGAAAAAAGAAAAUUAAGUAG